This 227-nucleotide ribosomal RNA is filed under the name uncultured bacterium. RNAcentral's name for it is "partial 16S ribosomal RNA". It matches the Rfam family "Bacterial small subunit ribosomal RNA", at positions 107 to 334 of the family's 1533-position model. The record is from RNAcentral.
UGAGUAACGCGUAUCCAACCUGCCCACCACUUGGGGAUAACCUUGCGAAAGUAAGACUAAUACCCAAUGAUAUCUCUAGAAGACAUCUGAAAGAGAUUAAAGAUUUAUCGGUGAUGGAUGGGGAUGCGUCUGAUUAGCUUGUUGGCGGGGUAACGGCCCACCAAGGCAACGAUCAGUAGCCGGACUGAGAGGUUGGCCGGCCACAUUGGGACUGAGACACGGCCCAG